UGGGGAAUCUUGGUCAAUGGGCGCAAGCCUGAACCAGCGACGCCGCGUGAGUGAUGAAGGCCUUCGGGUUGUAAAGCUCUGUGGGGAGGGACGAAAGACUGAGGUCUAAUAGGCUUCAGGUUGACGGUACCUCCUUAGCAAGCACCGGCUAACUCUGUGCCAGCAGCCGCGGUAAGACAGAGGGUGCAAACGUUGCUCGGAAUCACUGGGCGUAAAGGGCGUGUAGGCGGGAAGGAAAGUCAGAUGUGAAAUCCCCAGGCUCAACCUGGGAACUGCAUUUGAAACUCCCUUUCUUGAGUACCGGAGAGGAAAGUGGAAUUCCUGGUGUAGAGGUGAAAUUCGUAGAUAUCAGGAGGAACACCAGUGGCGAAGGCGGCUUUCUGGACGGUAACUGACGCUGAGACGCGAAAGCGUGGGGAGCAAACAG
This 427-nucleotide ribosomal RNA is filed under the name uncultured bacterium. Its description in RNAcentral is "bacterial SSU rRNA". It matches the Rfam family "Bacterial small subunit ribosomal RNA", at positions 355 to 775 of the family's 1533-position model. The record is from RNAcentral.